UGAAUUGCCAAAAGCUGUUACAGAUAAAUCUGUGUUUUUCACUUCUUGAUAUGACGAACAAAUAUAAAUUAAUUUAAUUUAGAUGCAUGGUUUGGCAGCUCAUGUAUUCACAAAUCUGCAGUUCUUCCUGACUUCUCCAUUGGUAAAGCUAUCAGGAUUGGUGAUAUUUCCCAAUUUCACCAUAGAAUCAGAGAACUGCUGGAAGAAACUUAUUGGGUCAUGAGCAUACUUCACAACAAGCUGCUUUGUUUGAAUUCCAAGUAUGCUCGAGUACAAUUCUUGGUCUGAGUUCAGUAGUCCUUCUCCUCUCAAUAGAAUCUGAUAGUAAGAGUUGUCGAAAAGGUUAGGAGUGAUAUUGUCCAUUGCUGAUACAUUAUUGUCUCCACCUCCAGCAGCAGGACAUAUGGAUUUCAAGUUACUCAGGUAUGUCUCUGACAUUGGGCCUUUAUCUGAAGUUGUUUCGAAAUCUCCAUAAAUCCUUGCUCGAAAAUUCGCACAUCGAGCCAUGCCUAUAGUGUGUGCCCCUGAAAGGGCUGCCGUGUCUGUGACAGAGAGGCCCUGAUAAAGAAACUUGGAAAUGAUAGAUACCAGACCUUCAUCUGCGGUUGGAAUAUUUGCUGAUGCAAGCUCAAAGCUUGCAGUCUUGGAAUCUUUCCUUCCUACAGGAACAUCCCAAUAUGGUCCACCGACCUGGCAGCAUUG
Molecule: unclassified non-coding RNA, 702 nt
Filed under: Hevea brasiliensis (rubber tree)
Lineage: Eukaryota; Viridiplantae; Streptophyta; Magnoliopsida; Malpighiales; Euphorbiaceae
Source: RNAcentral